Bombus huntii is the source of this 3223-nucleotide long non-coding RNA. RefSeq lists it as uncharacterized. The record is from RefSeq and is a predicted model, not a curated record. Lineage: Eukaryota; Metazoa; Arthropoda; Insecta; Hymenoptera; Apidae. The transcript has 2 exons.
AAGAUAAACACUUGCGUUAGAUUUUUUUAUUCGUCAUUUUGAUAAGAGUGUUUCGUAAAUAGGUGAACAAACUUUGGUAUCGUAUUUUCUACACAUUUCAAGAAAAUGAAAGAAAAGUCUAUAAAGGUCAGGGAACUCUUGCUUCUCAAGAUGUGAGCACUUGUUCUGGAAAUUUUCAAUAAAGCGUUUUUUUAUCAGGUUCUAUACAUUUUAUUUUCAUAUAUAUGAAUUAUGAUUAUAUGCUCUAUAAUAUUUCUUUCAUAGAUAAUAACGGGAAUGUUCGUGAACUCCUGAAGUGGACGGUUCAAGCUGUAGAUAUAUAAGUUGAGGAGUAUAUACAACAGUGAUUUCGUUUGUGAAGAACAUGUGCGUCACAACUCACUGCUAUAAUCUUCAAUAUUGUAUCUCACCUUGUUCAUAUACUUUUAAUAGUCGAUCAUUUCUUGAAUAUUACAAUACAAGUAGCGAUAAUACAAAAUAAUAAGAUUGUUUAAUUUUCCAGAGGUUGACAAAUUAAAGAUCAAUACCUAAAUAUCAAUUCAACAAGAAUCAACGUUGAAACGCGUAGACUUUUGAGUUGGUAUGCUUCCAGCUGGAUGAAAGACAGCCAAUUAUCGAUAUUUUAGGUGUACCUUGAACUAACGUCGAACUUAGAUCGCUAAUAACAUUCACUGAUAAAUGGCAAAAGAGUUUGCGGCCAGUUGAACAUUUGAAGGAGGCGAAACUAUAAUAAAACUAAAUGAAAGUGCAUACCAGAUGAAUUAUAAGUGAACGAUUUAAAUGUACGUGUAUAUUCUACAAUCUCCUACGGACGACUGACACGGUGCUCACGUCGAUAAAUUAUCUUUGAUUUUUCACAGGAUUUUUCACAGGAAAUGUUAUAACUAGCUAUAUAUAAAAUAUAGUUUGUAUAUUUUUGUACAUAAGUUGGUGAUCUUGUAUGAUACCAUAUCAGUGAUAACUGAUACUUGAGAUUAAUAUAGAUAAAAAUGUGACAAUUAUUUGAUAUGUGUAACUUGUGUAACGUGUUAUGUUUUGCUCGUUGUAUCUGUAGACAAUUUAAUUUUUAUACAAUUUAAGGACAGAGAUAUCUCAUACGUGAUUAUAUAACUAUAAUUUCAUUUAAAAACUUUUGGCACAUCUUGUAUUUGUUCUGUUAAUAAUGCACAGGAAGGUAUAGGCGAGUUAGGUAUUAUCCCUUUGAAUAAUUUUCAUCCUCCCAUGACCGUGAACAGUUUAAAAGUCUAUGUUUCAAAUAUAGCCUCUCCGAGGUUAUAGCAUUUGUUUAAAAACGUAUAGAUUAAUUUCAGUUUCGAAAGGCCCUGGUGGCCGAUAGACAUGAAAUUUGAGGAGGCUUGAUGAAAGGGGAGCAGGAGAGUGUGAGCCGCAAAUAUAAAAUUUUAGUUUCUGGUAUUUAUUUAUUGAUAUAUUUCCAAGAUAUUGAUACAGAACUUGCAGUACUGUACAUUAAAUCCUGUCUAUACUGAUGUUACUAAUGCAAGCGUCAUUACUGAAAUAACGUCACCAUCGCCGUCGACUGUCGAGCAGCCAAUGAUGCAAUAGUGAUAUCGGCUUUGGUAUCUAUGGGGUGUUCCACUUACAACCCGGCCACUUCUUUUUAAGCUACGUUAUAUUUACAUCUUAAUUUCGCUGGCCAAAAAAUAUUGGGUUACACCGUACUUAGUGUAAUUUUGGAUACCGUACCGGAUACUGUCCGGAUGGAGAUAGAAAAGUACGAGUAAUAUCGGUUAGGACUAAGCUAUAUAUUUUUCUUGUCGAAAGGCUACUUUGCCAAUUUCGGUGAUCUCAAAAUAUGUUGAGAAAUUUUAUAUUUUGAACAACUUUUUCCUAUACAGGUAACCAAUGGUUGGCCUUAGUUUUCGAGUUAUACGCAAAAUAUUUCGCCAUUCCGCUUUAGUUUUCAAGCUGGCUUAGGUUAAUACUAAUGUUAAUCCAGCAUUUGAUAGCUUAAACACUUUAAGGAAUAAUUAAAUAAAAUAUAAAACAUCCUUUGUGCGGCUGAAGUUACAAUGAUCUAUUUUACUUGAAACACCCUAUAGAUACUGAGGCGGAUAUUGCUGCUGUAUCAUCGCCUACUUAAGAGUUCACGGCGAUGACUACUACAGCAACGACGGCUGUAUUAAUAUCGUCUGUAUAGACAGAAUUCAAUGUAUACAUUUCUAAAUGUCCAAAAAAUGUUUAAUAUUUUAUAUUUGGGGUCUACCACCGCCAUCAAAUUUCGAGUCGAUAGGUUACCGGGGCCUUUCGGAACUUCAACCCAGUAACGUUCCCAUUUGGUUUAUUUAUAUCCCUUUAUCAUUCAAUAAUUACUUCAAAGUAAUAUGUAAUGCAAAGAUUAUUACAUAUUAUUUAAUCAUUGAACUAUAUAAAAUUUGAUGAAAAGAUAAUAACGAUAUUUUUCUUAUAGAUAAAAAGUAUUCUUCCCUUCGGAAGCCAUUUUUUCCAGUUCAAAAUUUUCAAAACUCUUCUGUCGACAUUCUCGUUCGAUUUCUAAACAUAACGUUCUUUAAUGAAUUGUUUUCUGUAAUGUAGGAAUAAUAGCUGGUGACACCGGCUAUUUAUCAAAAAAUUACAGCGCUUAUCGCAUGGAUAUAUCGGCCAUUCGGUCGACGUGGCAGUGUUCAACGAUCCUCAAAGCCUAAAACAUCUUGUUCAGGUUCUACAUUAUUUUUUCAUAUAAAAUCAGUGUAUUUUCGAUGCACUCAGUGCGACUCAAAAUAAUUUUUUUAUCUCUUUUAUAUGGAAAUAUAAAAAUAAGGCUGGUAGCCUUUCGUUACUUCAUAGACAUCCUAGAUCACUAGAUCUUGGAAAGUAUAUGGGACACUCCGCUGCAUAGGAAAGAACAUAGCAAUUGCGUCACGACUUAUUUAAUCGAUACAUAAAUAUUCGUGAAGCUAACUUUCUUGUCAUGAGAAUAUGCAGGAUAUUUCUACCUCUUUUCGCAAAAUGCUAGUAUCAUAUUCUACGAUUAAAAAUAAGAGAAAAAUGUUAUAUAAACAUAGAUUCAAAUAUGCUUUAUUAAAAAAUUAUAACAAAGAUUCAAAAUAACAGACUAGUUUUCGUUCAAUGGAGUAUAUGAACAAAUUGGUGAUUUAUGUAGUUCCAUCUUAAUGACAUCUAUUCUUAUCUAUCUAUUCUUCUAUUCUUAUAGUGUAUCGAUAAUGAAAACCGUAACUGUUUUUGUCAUAAUUUUUUAAGAAAG